UGGGGUGUGGCUCAGUAGAAGAGCACUUGCCUAGUAUGCAUGAGGCCCUGGGUUCCAACCCCAGCACCACAA
Molecule: transfer RNA, 72 nt
Filed under: Marmota monax (woodchuck)
Lineage: Eukaryota; Metazoa; Chordata; Mammalia; Rodentia; Sciuridae
Also listed under: 3 other names
Rfam family: tRNA
About the family: Transfer RNA (tRNA) molecules are approximately 80 nucleotides in length.
Source: Rfam by way of RNAcentral